This 20-nucleotide ribosomal RNA is filed under the name Blumeria graminis. RNAcentral describes it as "partial 28S ribosomal RNA". Lineage: Eukaryota; Fungi; Ascomycota; Leotiomycetes; Helotiales; Erysiphaceae. The record is from RNAcentral. RNAcentral also lists the same sequence under 25 other names.
UUGACCUCGAAUCAGGUAGG